AUAUGAGUUUAUAUUUACAUAUACAUGUAUAUGUGUGUGUAUGGGAAAGGAUUUUAUAU
Molecule: microRNA precursor, 59 nt
Filed under: Ciona intestinalis (vase tunicate)
Lineage: Eukaryota; Metazoa; Chordata; Ascidiacea; Phlebobranchia; Cionidae
Description: microRNA cin-mir-4190 precursor
Source: miRBase by way of RNAcentral